RNAcentral lists this ribosomal RNA (776 nucleotides) under uncultured bacterium. RNAcentral's name for it is "bacterial SSU rRNA". It matches the Rfam family "Bacterial small subunit ribosomal RNA", at positions 8 to 796 of the family's 1533-position model. The record is from RNAcentral.
AGAGUUUGAUCCUGGCUCAGGACGAACGCUGGCGGCGUGCUUAACACAUGCAAGUCGAACGGUGAACCUUCUUCGGGAGGGGAUCAGUGGCGAACGGGUGAGUAACACGUGGGCAACCUGCCCCCGGCUCUGGGAUAACUCCAAGAAAUUGGGGCUAAUACCGGAUGUCCUCUGCUGGCCGCAUGGUCUGGUGGUGGAAAGGGUUUCCGGCUGGGGAUGGGCCCGCGGCCUAUCAGCUUGUUGGUGGGGUAGUGGCCUACCAAGGCGACGACGGGUAGCCGGCCUGAGAGGGUGACCGGCCACACUGGGACUGAGACACGGCCCAGACUCCUACGGGAGGCAGCAGUGGGGAAUAUUGCGCAAUGGGCGGAAGCCUGACGCAGCGACGCCGCGUGGGGGAUGACGGCCUUCGGGUUGUAAACCUCUUUCGGCCCCGACGAAGCGUGAGUGACGGUAGGGGUAGAAGAAGCACCGGCCAACUACGUGCCAGCAGCCGCGGUAAUACGUAGGGUGCGAGCGUUGUCCGGAAUUAUUGGGCGUAAAGAGCUCGUAGGCGGUCUGUCGCGUCGGUCGUGAAAACUUGGGGCUUAACCCUGAGCUUGCGGUCGAUACGGGCAUGACUGGAGUUCGGCAGGGGAGACUGGAAUUCCUGGUGUAGCGGUGAAAUGCGCAGAUAUCAGGAGGAACACCGGUGGCGAAGGCGGGUCUCUGGGCCGAUACUGACGCUGAGGAGCGAAAGCGUGGGGAGCGAACAGGAUUAGAUACCCUAGUAGUCC